Cervus elaphus (red deer) is the source of this 414-nucleotide long non-coding RNA. RefSeq lists it as uncharacterized. The record is from RefSeq and is a predicted model, not a curated record. The transcript is spliced from 3 exons. NCBI's taxonomy places the organism in Eukaryota, Metazoa, Chordata, Mammalia, Artiodactyla, Cervidae.
CCAGUGUCUAGAUAACAGCUACAGAACACAGGGCUGAGACCAAUUUGGGAGACGUGACGGUUAGUUCUUCAAGUCUAUGCAAGAAAGAGUGUAAGGCUGAUGGAGAAAGCUCCUGGUCUUGGACAAGUGCUUUAAUGUCUCUAGCCUUCUGGUCCUUCAUCUGCUCAGUAGGGAUGAGGGUGUCACUCUCAGAAGACUGUUGUGAAGAUGACAGACGAGAAGACCCUGCAAACGACUCAGCCUCAUGCCCAUCACAGAGGAAACUCACAACAAACAGCAGGCCGACUGAGAUGCUCAUAACGAGAAUGAAAAUCUCCCUCUUGCUUCAUCAAGGAAACAAAGCUGAAUGAGCUGCAGAAAGAUCCAUGUGUGUCCCUGCCUUCAUUCUAACCAUCCCUCCCAAACCUCCAUCAC